Molecule: ribosomal RNA, 531 nt
Filed under: uncultured bacterium
Lineage: Bacteria
Description: bacterial SSU rRNA
Rfam family: Bacterial small subunit ribosomal RNA
Source: RNAcentral
ACUGGCGCACGGGUGCGGAACACGUAGGAAAACGGCCCAGAAAGGGAGAACAACCAGUCGAAAGAUUGGCUAAAUCUCCGUAAAAUCAUAGAGUGGCAUCACUUAUUGAUCAAGUUUUUUUCUGGAUGAGCCUGCGUCUGAUUAGCUAGUUGGCGGGGUAACGGCCCACCAAGGCUACGAUCAGUAGCUGGUCUGAGAGGAUGAUCAGCCACAUUGGGACUGAGAUACGGCCCAAACUCCUACGGGAGGCAGCAGCGAGGAAUAUUGCUCAAUGGGGGAAACCCUGAAGCAGCAACGCCGCGUAAAGGAUGAAGGCGCUUUGCGUUGUAAACUUUUGUAGUCGGGGACAAAUUGGGAGUUACUACUCCCUUGAUGGUACCCGAAAAGUAAGGAUCGGCUAACUACGUGCCAGCAGCCGCGGUAAUACGUAGGAUCCGAGCGUUGUCCAAAUUUACUGGGUGUAAAGGGUGCGCAGGCGGACUGAUAAGUCAGUGGUGAAAUCUCGUCGCUUAACGACAAAACUGCCUUUGA